GGCGGGUUAGAGUAUGGCAGAGGGGGGUAGAAUUCCACGUGUAGCAGUGAAAUGCGUAGAGAUGUGGAGGAAUACCGAUGGCGAAGGCAGCCCCCUGGGCCAAUACUGACGCUCAUGCACGAAAGCGUGGGGAGCAAACAGGAUUAGAUACCCUGGUAGUCCACGCCCUAAACGAUGUCAACUAGUUGUCGGGUCUUCAUUGACUUGGUAACGUAGCUAACGCGUGAAGUUGACCGCCUGGGGAGUACGGUCGCAAGAUUAAAACUCAAAGGAAUUGACGGGGACCCGCACAAGCGGUGGAUGAUGUGGAUUAAUUCGAUGCAACGCGAAAAACCUUACCUACCCUUGACAUGUAUGGAACCCUGCCGAGAGGUGGGGGUGCCCGAAAGGGAGCCAUA
This 398-nucleotide ribosomal RNA is filed under the name Burkholderia sp. RNAcentral's name for it is "bacterial SSU rRNA". It matches the Rfam family "Bacterial small subunit ribosomal RNA", at positions 635 to 1031 of the family's 1533-position model. The record is from RNAcentral. Lineage: Bacteria; Pseudomonadati; Pseudomonadota; Betaproteobacteria; Burkholderiales; Burkholderiaceae.